Molecule: ribosomal RNA, 253 nt
Filed under: uncultured bacterium
Lineage: Bacteria
Description: partial 16S ribosomal RNA
Rfam family: Bacterial small subunit ribosomal RNA
Source: RNAcentral
CACGUAGGGUGCAAGCGUUGUCCGGAAUUAUUGGGCGUAAAGGGCUCGUAGGCGGUCCGUCACGUCGGGAGUGAAAACUCGGGGCUCAACUCCGAGCUUGCAGUGGGUACGGGCAGACUAGAGUGCGGUAGGGGAGACUGGAAUUCCUGGUGUAGCGGUGGAAUGCGCAGAUAUCAGGAGGAACACCGGUGGCGAAGGCGGGUCUCUGGGCCGUAACUGACGCUGAGGAGCGAAAGCAUGGGGAGCGAACAGG